UGCAAGUCGAGCGGACAGAAGGGAGCUUGCUCCCGGAUGUUAGCGGCGGACGGGUGAGUAACACGUGGGUAACCUGCCUGUAAGACUGGGAUAACUCCGGGAAACCGGAGCUAAUACCGGAUAGUUCCUUGAACCGCAUGGUUCAAGGAUGAAAGACGGUUUCGGCUGUCACUUACAGAUGGACCCGCGGCGCAUUAGCUAGUUGGUGAGGUAACGGCUCACCAAGGCGACGAUGCGUAGCCGACCUGAGAGGGUGAUCGGCCACACUGGGACUGAGACACGGCCCAGACUCCUACGGGAGGCAGCAGUAGGGAAUCUUCCGCAAUGGACGAAAGUCUGACGGAGCAACGCCGCGUGAGUGAUGAAGGUUUUCGGAUCGUAAAGCUCUGUUGUUAGGGAAGAACAAGUGCAAGAGUAACUGCUUGCACCUUGACGGUACCUAACCAGAAAGCCACGGCUAACUACGUGCCAGCAGCCGCGGUAAUACGUAGGUGGCAAGCGUUGUCCGGAAUUAUUGGGCGUAAAGGGCUCGCAGGCGGUUUCUUAAGUCUGAUGUGAAAGCCCCCGGCUCAACCGGGGAGGGUCAUUGGAAACUGGGAAACUUGAGUGCAGAAGAGGAGAGUGGAAUUCCACGUGUAGCGGUGAAAUGCGUAGAGAUGUGGAGGAACACCAGUGGCGAAGGCGACUCUCUGGUCUGUAACUGACGCUGAGGAGCGAAAGCGUGGGGGAGCGAACAGGAUUAGAUACCCUGGUAGUCCACGCCGUAAACGAUGAGUGCUAAGUGUUAGGGGGUUUCCGCCCCUUAUUGCUGCAGCUAACGCAUUAAGCACUCCG
RNAcentral lists this ribosomal RNA (834 nucleotides) under Bacillus altitudinis. Its description in RNAcentral is "bacterial SSU rRNA". It matches the Rfam family "Bacterial small subunit ribosomal RNA", at positions 56 to 871 of the family's 1533-position model. The record is from RNAcentral. Lineage: Bacteria; Bacillati; Bacillota; Bacilli; Caryophanales; Bacillaceae.